Molecule: ribosomal RNA, 725 nt
Filed under: uncultured bacterium
Lineage: Bacteria
Description: bacterial SSU rRNA
Rfam family: Bacterial small subunit ribosomal RNA
Source: RNAcentral
AACAGGAUUAGAUACCCUGGUAGUCCACGCCCUAAACGAUGUCUACUAGUUGUCGGGUCUUAAUUGACUUGGUAACGCAGCUAACGCGUGAAGUAGACCGCCUGGGGAGUACGGUCGCAAGAUUAAAACUCAAAGGAAUUGACGGGGACCCGCACAAGCGGUGGAUGAUGUGGAUUAAUUCGAUGCAACGCGAAAAACCUUACCUACCCUUGACAUGGCUGGAAUCCCCGAGAGAUUGGGGAGUGCUCGAAAGAGAACCAGUACACAGGUGCUGCAUGGCUGUCGUCAGCUCGUGUCGUGAGAUGUUGGGUUAAGUCCCGCAACGAGCGCAACCCUUGUCAUUAGUUGCUACGAAAGGGCACUCUAAUGAGACUGCCGGUGACAAACCGGAGGAAGGUGGGGAUGACGUCAAGUCCUCAUGGCCCUUAUGGGUAGGGCUUCACACGUCAUACAAUGGUACAUACAGAGCGCCGCCAACCCGCGAGGGGGAGCUAAUCGCAGAAAGUGUAUCGUAGUCCGGAUUGUAGUCUGCAACUCGACUGCAUGAAGUUGGAAUCGCUAGUAAUCGCGGAUCAGCAUGUCGCGGUGAAUACGUUCCCGGGUCUUGUACACACCGCCCGUCACACCAUGGGAGCGGGUUUUACCAGAAGUAGGUAGCUUAACCGUAAGGAGGGCGCUUACCACGGUAGGAUUCGUGACUGGGGUGAAGUCGUAACAAGGUAACC